CGAAACAAAUCUAGGGGCAUAUAUGCACUUUUACGAAGCUAAUGGGUCCGUACGUGGUUUUGAAUAAUUCUGGGGUCCAAACAGAAUUGGCGUCUUCCCGAACGCGAAGCCUAUCGCACCAUCACCGGCGAAUUCCACCGAGUAAUUUUAAUCUUACCUCUGUUCUAUGGUGGUAAAGUGAAGCAACCUCUGAAUUAAUUUCGAACUUGAAUAUUACUCUGAAGAUAUGUCAAAUUCGACGAGGCGGCGACAAUGGAUGAAGCUCUUUCCUUUGAAUAUAGGACGCAGGUUUGCUAACAUAACGAUGAUUUCUUGUAUCUGCAGUCAUCAAUCUAGAUAUAUAUAUUUGUUUUUCGCUAGGCUAUUCUCGCAAGAAACUGAUAAAACUUCAACGAAACCGGUACUAAUUGAUUACAAUUAUUAAUCUUCUCUUGAAGACGAGGAUGAAGGUUUUUCCUCAAUUGUUCUUCUAUCUUAAGCACAUACAAAGGAAUGUUCAUCGAUUUUGCAUUUCUCCGAUAUUAUACUAGUACCUAAUUAUCAGGAUUCACCGAUUCAGGUAUAUGUAGUAAUGUAGAUAAGAGAUUGAUCUUGCAAACACUUAGCGGAAAGCGGUGUAUUAACAGCUUUUAGUUGAUUCAUAUUACUCAGUUCGAGAGAUUAUGUGGUAUGAAAUUUUGAACAUUUGGUACUUGUAUAGUCUUUCAGUCUGCAAUUUGAAAUGAGUGCUUCGCUUAGCUAGCUGCUUUCCAUCAUAUAAGGAGAACCAUCACAAUGCAAAUAACGGAGAACACACCAAGUUAAGGUGCUAGAGAGUAAAAGAGCUCCCAAAACCUUCCUGGAGCUAUUUCAUGAGUGUAGAAUUUCCCUGGCUUCUAGAUGCUAUCUAUCUCAAUUUAUUGAAAUUGUUUAACUAACCUCUCUCCGUAUUAUAAAUGGGAAAAAUGCACACAUGUAUUCCCUGUCACCAUAUGUACCAACCUCUUUAAGAGCAGCAGUAGGACCUCACUGAUUCCGUCCGUCAUUUUGAAGAGUUUGUGGUUUCUUAUGCUAUGUGGGAUGUGUUUCUGUUCGAUCUGAUUCCAAACCAUCCACAAUGAUACCCGCUCCAGGAAAUUUGUUGCUUGAUUUGUUAAGAGGUGCGAGCUAAUUGAAUGGGUGGUCCGUCCUAUCUUUACUCAUUGAUAUCUUGUACUUUAGCAUUAUUUAGUUGCUUGUCCAUGUCCCCUGUGUACAUAGUUGAUAUAGUUUUUCAAUCCGAGUUAAUUUUAAAUUUUGUAGAUUCCAUCCCUUUACUGGAGCACAUGUUGUGAUAUAAUGUUUAUUUUGUUGGGUUUAGUUGAUAGGUUGAAUGGGAAAUGGAGGGAAAAGAAGUGGAGGAAAAAAUGAUUUGUUCUCUCUUGCUGUAUGAAAUAAGCAUUUGUCCCACAUAGGUGGUGGAAAGAAAAAAUCUCCUUUCAUAUUGCUAAAGGGUCAAGAAGAGGGUCUCCCCUCGCGCCGUCGUGGCUCGCUCGGCUACGGCUACGGCCCGUUUCUUUCUUUCCCGGAUUAAUUUAAAAAAUAUUUCCCUCCGUUUUUCCAACGGAUUUUUUGAAAGGUUGCAACCUUGUUCGAAAAGUUGCAAACCUUUUCUCAACAGGCAAGCAUUUUCCCAACAGGUGUUUUUUCUUAAAAGGUGCAAACAGGCUAUAUAUAUAUAUAUGUUAAUCCUCAGAAUACUCUAUACGAAAAUUCUGAUAGACAUCUUCUUCUUCUUCUUUUCUGCACUUACCAACAUAUUUCACAUCUUACUGAAUCUGAUAUUGGAUUUCAACUCUAACAGACUCUUCAACAAAUUAGUUGACAAUGGAAUGAUCUUUUUCUCACCUUGUAAUUUUCCAUUGCACUGCCUUUGCCCCCAUACUGCAACUGUUUCCACGUGGUGCCAUACAGAGGGCAUCUCUUACAGUAUGUAAUGUUCUCAUUCUUGGGAAACAAACUUCCCACAUCUUGAGUUUCACCACUUUUGGCCAAUUUUCUCUGUUUUUAGGUGAGGUGUUUUUAAAAUACACUAGGCAUUUUUUUCAGCCAGCUAGUCAUAAUCCGUUUCAGGUAGUACUUCGAGGAAGUCUACAAAAAAUUCUUUCACAUGGAUGGUUUCAUCAGUGUCCUAUGGGCUAGACACAGAACCAGAAACUUUGCAAUUUGGCUUGAUAACCAUUGGCUAUAGAAUGACUACAACACAAUGCAAAAUAAAUAUAAUAGCGAUGUUGGCUGCUGAUGGAAGAAGGUGAAAGGUAUGAUGAACAACUUUAAUUCUUUAUCUACAGCAAUAUAUGUAGCAACUUUGAUUUUAUAAUCUGGCAUUGUAGGUGUAGCUUUUCUAUCUUGGUUUCUAUUUAUCUCUUCAUCUUAUAAUUGGGAAUGAUUUAGCUUUAGAGUUGAGAGAAAGGUGGAACUCUCAAAUAAGAAUUUCAGCUAUUAGUGGAUGCUUUAUAGAUUAACCUUUUCUCCACAUGCUAUUUUCCCUUAAUAGGUGAACUGCCUAAUGUGGAUUUGUUCAUAAUUAGUCUUUCAGCGUGAAGAAAAGGGACUUUUUACUGCAUAUUGGUGGAGUUUAGACUCUAGUUCUCUCCUUCACUUCAUUGGUUAUUAAAUUAUUCUAAACGUUUCCAGUAAAAUGUGAAAGCAAAUGGACAUUUGGGGAUUACACGUCUCAGAACCACGAUGCCCCGACGUGGGAAAAGCAACUCAAUUUCUACAUGGGCUACAUUCCUAUACAUUAAUCUCUUUUUCUUUUCUAUUUUCAGUAAGAAUUUCACGUGCUAUUUUUUUUUUUACCUUUAAUGGUUUGCUCAUGAACUUUUUUUUAAUCUGCACGUUGGUGGAGUUUGCCAAAGCAAAUUUGCCUUUAUAGUUAAACAAUAGCUAUGGUGUUAUAGUUUUACAUUAAAUUAGUUGCUUUGUUUUGAAUGG
Long non-coding RNA from Solanum dulcamara, 2955 nucleotides. RefSeq lists it as uncharacterized. The transcript is spliced from 3 exons. Lineage: Eukaryota; Viridiplantae; Streptophyta; Magnoliopsida; Solanales; Solanaceae. The record is from RefSeq and is a predicted model, not a curated record.